This 497-nucleotide ribosomal RNA is filed under the name uncultured bacterium. RNAcentral describes it as "partial 16S ribosomal RNA". It matches the Rfam family "Bacterial small subunit ribosomal RNA", at positions 28 to 507 of the family's 1533-position model. The record is from RNAcentral.
GAUGAACGCUGGCGGCGUGCCUAAUACAUGCAAGUCGAGCGAACGGACGAGAAGUUUGCUUCUCUGAUGUUAGCGGCGGACGGGUGAGUAACACGUGGAUAACCUACCUAUAAGACUGGGAUAACUUCGGGAAACCGUAGCUAAUACCGGAUAAUAUUUUGAACCGCAUGGUUCAAAAGUGAAAGACGGUCUUGCUGUCACUUAUAGAUGGAUCCGCGUUGCAUUAGCUAGUUGGUAAGGUAACGGCUUACCAAGGCAACGAUGCAUAGCCGACCUGAGAGGGUGAUCGGCCCCACGGGAACGGAGAGACGGUCCAGACUCCUACGGGAGGCAGCAGUAGGGAAUCUGCCGGAAUGGGCGAAUGCCUGACGGAGCAACGCAGCGUGAGGGAUGAAGGUCUUCGGAUCGUAAAACUCUGCUAUUAGGGAAGAACAUAUGUGUAAGUAACUGUGCACAUCGUGACGGUACCUAAUCAGAAAGCCACGGCUAACUACGUG